Molecule: ribosomal RNA, 407 nt
Filed under: uncultured bacterium
Lineage: Bacteria
Description: bacterial SSU rRNA
Rfam family: Bacterial small subunit ribosomal RNA
Source: RNAcentral
UGGGGAAUAUUGCACAAUGGGCGCAAGCCUGAUGCAGCAACGCCGCGUGAGGGACGACGGCCUUCGGGUUGUAAACCUCUUUUGGCAGGGAAGAAGCGAAAGUGACGGUACCUGCAGAAAAAGCACCGGCUAACUACGUGCCAGCAGCCGCGGUGAUACGUAGGGUGCAAGCGUUGUCCGGAAUUAUUGGGCGUAAAGAGCUCGUAGGCGGUUUGUCGCGUCUGCUGUGAAAACCCGAGGCUCAACCUCGGGCCUGCAGUGGGUACGGGCAAACUAGAGUGCGGUAGGGGAGAUUCGAAUUCCUGGUGUAGCGGUGGAAUGCGCAGAUAUCAGGAGGAACACCGAUGGCGAAGGCAGAUCUCUGGGCCGUAACUGACGCUGAGGAGCGAAAGCAUGGGGAGCGAACA